Molecule: ribosomal RNA, 902 nt
Filed under: uncultured bacterium
Lineage: Bacteria
Description: bacterial SSU rRNA
Rfam family: Bacterial small subunit ribosomal RNA
Source: RNAcentral
UAGGGAUCAUGAUUGAUACGCUAGGCGGCAGGCCUAACACGAUGCCUAAGUCGAGCGACGUAGAGAGAAGCUUGCUUCUCUUGAGAGCGGCGGACGGGUGAGUAAUGCCUAGGAAUCUGCCUGGUAGUGGGGGAUAACGCUCGGAAACGGACGCUAAUACCGCAUACGUCCUACGGGAGAAAGCAGGGGACCUUCGGGCCUUGCGCUAUCAGAUGAGCCUAGGUCGGAUUAGCUAGUUGGUGAGGUAAUGGCUCACCAAGGCGACGAUCCGUAACUGGUCUGAGAGGAUGAUCAGUCACACUGGAACUGAGACACGGUCCAGACUCCUACGGGAGGCAGCAGUGGGGAAUAUUGGACAAUGGGCGAAAGCCUGAUCCAGCCAUGCCGCGUGUGUGAAGAAGGUCUUCGGAUUGUAAAGCACUUUAAGUUGGGAGGAAGGGCAUUAACCUAAUACGUUGGUGUCUUGACGUUACCGGCAGAAUAAGCACCGGCUAACUCUGUGCCAGCAGCCGCGGUAAUACAGAGGGUGCAAGCGUUAAUCGGAAUUACUGGGCGUAAAGCGCGCGUAGGUGGUUCGUUAAGUUGGAUGUGAAAUCCCCGGGCUCAACCUGGGAACUGCAUUCAAAACUGACGAGCUAGAGUAUGGUAGAGGGUGGUGGAAUUUCCUGUGUAGCGGUGAAAUGCGUAGAUAUAGGAAGGAACACCAGUGGCGAAGGCGACCACCUGGACUGAUACUGACACUGAGGUGCGAAAGCGUGGGGAGCAAACAGGAUUAGAUACCCUGGUAGUCCACGCCGUAAACGAUGUCAACUAGCCGUUGGGAGCCUUGAGCUCUUAGUGGCGCAGCUACACGCAUUACACUGGGAACCGCCCUGGGGAGUAACGAUGCGACGCAAGGUUAC